This 72-nucleotide transfer RNA is filed under the name Loxodonta africana (African savanna elephant). It matches the Rfam family "tRNA". Rfam says of the family: Transfer RNA (tRNA) molecules are approximately 80 nucleotides in length. Their secondary structure includes four short double-helical elements and three loops (D, anti-codon, and T loops). Further hydrogen bonds mediate the characteristic L-shaped molecular structure. tRNAs have two regions of fundamental functional importance: the anti-codon, which is responsible for specific mRNA codon recognition, and the 3' end, to which the tRNAs corresponding amino acid is attached (by aminoacyl-tRNA synthetases). tRNAs cope with the degeneracy of the genetic code in two manners: having more than one tRNA (with a specific anti-codon) for a particular amino acid; and 'wobble' base-pairing, i.e. permitting non-standard base-pairing at the 3rd anti-codon position. Lineage: Eukaryota; Metazoa; Chordata; Mammalia; Proboscidea; Elephantidae. The record is from Rfam by way of RNAcentral.
GCCCUGGUGGCAAAACAGUUAAGCACUUGGUUGCUGACUAAAAGGUAGGUGGUUUGAAUCCACUCAGUGGCU